RNAcentral lists this long non-coding RNA (4606 nucleotides) under Salvia miltiorrhiza (redroot sage). RNAcentral's name for it is "long non-coding RNA (SMIL_LNC010722)". Lineage: Eukaryota; Viridiplantae; Streptophyta; Magnoliopsida; Lamiales; Lamiaceae. The record is from RNAcentral.
ACUGCAAUUGAGGUGAAACAGCGCAAUUAUUGAGAUAUAUAGUAAUACUACAUUUAUAUUUUAUGUAAAGUUUGAUAUAUUUCGGAUGCAUGAUUCUGGCUCUUGAUGACCUGGUUUAUCGCCAUGCAAUAACACAUCACAUAGGAAGUACUACAAUAAACUAAAUUUAUUGUAUCCCUCUAAAAUAGAGGAAUAAUAUUAUAAACUAUAUAUUUAUCACUUAAUAAAGUGGGGAUUAUGUUUUUAGUUUUUCAAACUUCACAUCUUAAUUUAGUAUGUAAGUUUGGCUUGUAGCUAGGUACGAAAUCGAAGAUGCAAAUGUGAGCAUACAUAUGAUUUGGAGAAUGAUAGCUUUAAAUCCGAAAUACUUUGAAAUUUUGGUUUCUUCACUUAGUUUGUACUUUAUUUGAUGGUUAUGUGUAGCUUAUACUUUGUUUUAUAAUUAUAUCGCUUGUAGUUAUGUAUCAUAUCUUAUCGAUGAUAAAGGACAAGAAAAGUUAUAACACUACAAACUUUUUUUUUUUUUUUUGGAAGAAGACGAGCUAUAUUAUUUAUGUAAUGUCCUCCAAAAAGGUAUAAAGUCACUUAUAAGUCACUUAGGAAAAAUUAACUCUCCAAAUAAAUUAAUCGUGAACAAAGUUUAUAAUAACAAUCAACAAAGGCUUUGUGGCUUUGCAUUUAUUUAUAUUUUUUCAUAAUUGAUCUUUUCACUUUUCACUUUAUAAAUAAAGUUUAUAAUAACAAUCAACAAAGGCUUUGUGGCUUAAUGGAUAAGGUGUUAUUAGUUCAUGGAAUUUCAUUAGCAAUUUAUCUUUUCACUUUAAAAAUUAAAUUUAUAUUAUUUAUAUUUUUCAUAAUUUAUCUUCACUUAACAAAUAGAGUUUAUAAUAAUAAUCUACAAAAGUUUUCUGGUUUGAUGGAUAAGGAGUAAUACUUUUGAUAAAAUCAAAUAAGACUAUACAUUAGAGUAGAUAAAACUUUUUAUUCUUAAAAUCAAAUAAUUUUUUUAAGAGUAAAUUAAAAAAAUUUAUUCAUAAAUAAUAUUUUUCUUUCAUCUAUAUUUUUAUUUAAAAAAAAAAAACUUGUGUACGACGCACCCACAUACAAAUAAUACUUUUCAUAAAAUAAGACUUUACUUAAGAGUAAAUAAUACUUUUUAUUCUAAGUGAGACUUUGAUUAAACUAGUACUCUCACCCAUGCGAUGCACGGUAAUCAUCAAACUAUAUAUUAUAAAAUAUAUCUUUUCUAAUAUUUUGUAAGUAAACAAAAAUAUUGAUAAAAUAAAAAUUACAGUAAAAUCUACUUAAAAAUCCAAAAAUAUAAUUUAGUAAACCAACAUAAAUUUAUAUUUCUCACCAGACAACCUUACAUAUGACUCACACACACUUAACAAAAAUUUAAACAUAAAAAUAAUAGGAUUGACGUACUAAUAACUCUUUCUCGAUUCUAAGUGAUGGUGCAGACUGCAUCAUACUUAUACAAACAUUAAACAUGCACAUCUUUAGAUGUUAUAGUCGGAACAAAAAGGCAACUGGGCAAUGCAAAUCAUAAUAUACAUGUUUCCUUUAAAGGGGAUGAACAUCUUGUGUUAGUCAGUGACUAAAUCUGAGAACACAAUAAGGAAAAAAAUGUUAGUAUAAAGCAGAAAACAGAUCAUCCUAACAAUGUCUCAUGCAUGGAAGAUUUCACAUGUACAACACUAUUUUUAAUUUUGGUCAAUUUUUAGACAAACACGAAAGUUCAUAGUAUCUCAUUAGCUUAUCUCUUCUUCAACAUAUCUUUAAGAGGAACUUGAGACAAACUCAUAAUACUUUUCCCCCAAGGUCUAUACCACAUUGCAAGUAUUGUGGAGAAAAGAAUAAAGAAUACAUUUGAAAUUAAUCAUCACAAAAAAUUCUCUAAAAUUAUAAAUCCCUUCAAGUAACAUAAAGCAAAACACUGGAGUAUCUUCCACAACUAAUUCACACAUCUUAAUUCGUAUAAAUUAACAUUUCAAUCAAAAAACUAAAAUAAGAGUUCAAAACUCAAUUUACUUAGAGCGUGAAAUAGAGAUAGACUUGAACUUUAAUCCCCUAUAUUUUCACUUCUAUAAAGAUAUGGAAAUCAUCACCUAUAAAAAGUUUAAUUGACCCUAAAAUGAGAAAUAAAUUAAGAUUCUACAAGUUCUCACAGCAAUGCCGGUGGUGAAUUUAUGUACGGUGGGCUUGAGAUCCACUACUGGUACAUUGAUUNGGUUCUUUAUAAUAUUAGUGUGAGAAUUGCAUCAAGAAUCAUAUUCAGCUAAAUUGAGAAAAUACUUACAUAUAUAUAUAUGAAUCGAUGUGAUGUUUCUGUCAUGUUCAAGAUCAUCAUUUAAUUAAGCUACUUUAAUUAGUUUUGAAUCCAGCAAAAAUCUGGUUACAAAGAACGUAUGUUGUACGUGUUAUUAAUUGUUGGCCUAAUUAAAAUACAUUAUGUUUUUUAGCAGAGAGCGUGGAUUGUGCACGCAAUCCAUGAACUUCACAUUAAUAAAUUAUUAGAGUUGAAUAAUUGUAUUAAAUUUCAUAAUAUCAAAAAAUUUAAAAAAUUAUUCUUUCCAUGGUUAAUAUAAAAUCAAAGAUAGAUUUUUAAUAUAUAGUAUUUAAUAUAUUCUUAUAGUAUUUUGUGCCAAGAGCACUUUUUAUAGUAUAGAUUAAUACCCAAAGUUUAGAUGAUAAUAUAUAAUUGUUGAGAGUAUUUUGAAAUGCACAAACUUCAUUUGUUUAUAAGUUUGUGGCCUCUUGAAGCAUGCGACAACUCAUCCAAAGGCAUGAUCACCAAACAGAGAAAUGCAAGCUACUUAGGCAACAACCCCUUUGCAUUCAGGUAAUCGCAUAACUUUUUAUUUUUUAUUUUACCACUCUGAGUAAUAGUAAUCAAUGUCUAUAUUGUGUUGAUUGAAACAUAUACUAUUCAUCACUAAUUAACGCAGUAAUUCUUUUGACAUAUAAGUUUCAAAUUUGAUCUGAUCAUAUCUUAACUAGUAAUUAAAUAUGUUAUUCAUAUUCUAUAUACAGAUGUAUGUUAUAAAUAACUUCUGAGAUAUCAGCUACGUGUAAAAUUUGAUAACUAUAUUUACCUCAUGAUGUGCAUGCAUAUUAAUUUUUACUUAUCUCCACUUGUUUGUUUACUACAAUAUUUUCUGAUAGUUUUGAUUGAAUGAACUAAUUUCUGAGGAAAAUCAGUAGUCAUGUUGUGUGUUAUCUAGAACCAGCAUGAUUGAUUGUACUGAUAAAUAUACUGUUAUUUCUUUUAAUUCUUUUUACUUAAUUAGAAGAUUAAUUUGGUCAAUCUGAUGUAUUAGUUGUGAAAUUAAAAAUAAGGAAAGAGGCAUUUUUGCAGGGAAGUGAUAGCCAUGGCGUUCUGAGCAAGAAGCUUAUGGAGCUGAGCGUUGAGCUAAAGUAAUUGAUGACAAAUUAAUUAAGUCUUUUAGUAUAUGAUAUGAUAUGAUAUUACAGAUGGAGACAAAUAAGUAUUAAUUUGUUAUAUAUAUAUAUAUAUACAUCAGACAACUUGAGGGAGAAAAUCUGCAAGGGCUUGGGCUGCCCAGUCUCAUGAAGCUUGAGAAAUUGGUGGAGGGAGGAAUAAGCCGCAUCAGAAAAACUAAGGUACACUACACGCAUAUAUAUAUAUAUAUAUAUAGCCCGAUUUCAUCUUCUUCUUUAAUUCAAUUGGUGGCAGAAUGAGAGGCUCGACCACGAAAUAAAGAAGCUCAGGACAAGGGCAAGUGCUACCUUAUCUUCUACCUAAUAUAUUUAGAGCCGCCACCAUUUUCAUCAUUAAUUUCAUGUUUGGAUGAUGCAGGAAUUGGAAUUGAUGGAAGAAUUGAAGAAACAGGUCAUUUUACUACCCACUUUCUUUAAUUUACCAGCAUUUAUAGCUUAAUUAUGACAUUUUUUAAUUCUUCAUUUUAACAUCUAUACAUAUGUGCUCACUUCAAAUAUAUAUACUACUACUACAUACCAUGUUAUAUAGGAUAGAAAUUAUAUGAAUUUUGACUUAAAUGAAUCUGCAUUUUGAGGCGCAGAAAUCCAGCACAAGAAAUGCUUUUGACCAAGGAAUUACGCCUAUUGCCAACUGCAAUGGCUCAGACACAUUCCUCAAGCUGGGGUAAUUAAUGCUUAUAACUAUUACUUCUAUUAAUGAUGUCUGAAUUUUUAUUUGAAAAAUUAAAUAAAUAAAUCGAAAUUUUCCCUAUUAAACUAGUUUUUGUGGGUGGCUACGUAGAUUUAUUGAAAUUUAUAUCGUUGCCACAUUCGAAAAAAGUGAUCAUAUUGGCGUGAUAUUGUCUCAGUGAUCAUAUGAUAGAACUUAAACUAUUAUGACCUCUCUGUGUUUGCAGGCUGCCCUAUUCCAACUGCAAUUGAGGUGAAACAGCGCAAUUAUUGAGAUAUAUAGUAAUACUACAUUUAUAUUUUAUGUAAAGUUUGAUAUAUUUCGGAUGCAUGAUUCUGGCUCUUGAUGACCUGGUUUAUCGCCAUGCAAUAACACAUCACAUAGGAAGUACUACAAUAAACUAAAUUUAUUGUAUCCCUCUAAAAUAGAGGAAUAAUAUUAUAAACUAUAUAUUUAUCACUUAAUAAAGUG